Molecule: long non-coding RNA, 666 nt
Organism: Suricata suricatta (meerkat)
Lineage: Eukaryota; Metazoa; Chordata; Mammalia; Carnivora; Herpestidae
Exons: 2
Source: RefSeq, a predicted model, not a curated record
CUAGUCCUGGUUGCCUUCUUUUUGUUGGUCACUAGGGAGGUUCCCGCUGGCCUCGUGGCUGAACCCAUGUGGCUUCUGUCAGCAGCGGGAGAGCCAUUCCUAAGAGCUGAGACAGUGAGUCAGCCCUCAGUUCAUUGCCCAGGGAAGAUUCCUUUUUCACCGAUUAUGCAAUGUCACCCAGGCUGUGUUUUCCUUAGUGGAAUCCAAGAUGUGGAAUCAUGAAAUUGGAAACCAACCACCUUUUUGCCGUGGACCUGGAAAAGAUGAAAAAAAGAAUGGAUUUUGCCUCAAACUGAGUUCCCUUGCUACCAGUAAAGGCUUACAGAGACAGGGAGGAGUAAGGACUCUGGGAAGAGGAGGUAGCAAAGCAAAGAACAAUUUCAUUUUCUCCUCUGCAGUAAGAAAGCAAAAGAUCCAUUAGAUGAGAAAAUGUAUGUGAAAGCACUUAGCACAGUGCUUGGCAAAUAGAUGGGAUUCAAUAAUAUUGACUUUUUUGUUUUAUCUGUGCUCAGUGUAGGGACUCAUAAGGAAGUUUAGGGUGUAAGAAGAAUAAACAGGGGAGCCAGUGGAAGUAAGAGAAUGUUCUCUACCUGGAUGAUGGUUAAAAUUUUGCCAUUAGAGUUUCUUUCCUUUGACUCUAUUAAAAAUUGGAGAUAAAACUCAUUA